Molecule: non-coding RNA, 408 nt
Filed under: uncultured fungus
Lineage: Eukaryota; Fungi
Also listed under: 1 other name
Source: RNAcentral
AGAGUUAAAUAGUACGUGAAAUUGUUGAAAGGGAAACGAUUGAAGUCAGUCAUGCUAGUGAAAAUUCAGUUUGGUGGGUUUUGGGUUCAGGAGUUGAGGCAGGGUCAAACCGUUUCUCUUUUGAACUUGGAAUUUGUCAGAUGCACUUUUUCUUUGGCAGGUCAGCGUCGAUUUCGGAGGUUGUAAAAUACUUGGGGAAAAGUAGCUCUGCUUCGGGAGAGUGUUAUAGACCUUGGGUGAUGCGGCCUGCGGGAUCGAGGAUUGCAGCAAAUGCUUUUGGCUUGUCGCCUGAUCUCUGGACGUCAUCUCGCUUGUAUCAACAUUCUUGGUACCGGUGAGUAAUGGUGCUCAUAGGUUAGAGCGAUCAAAAAUUUGCUAAGGAUGCUGACGUAAUGGCUUUAAACGACC